This 345-nucleotide ribosomal RNA is filed under the name Microsporidium sp. group G. RNAcentral describes it as "SSU rRNA". It matches the Rfam family "Microsporidia small subunit ribosomal RNA", at positions 52 to 409 of the family's 1311-position model. The record is from RNAcentral. Lineage: Eukaryota; Fungi; Microsporidia.
GCAUGUUUAUGUAAUAAGGACGAACAGCUCAGUAGAACUACGAUUAUUUAGUCUGUCUGAUAAUGAUAACUACGUGAAAAUGUAGCUAAGAGAGGACAGAAUAAGACGUAGGACUAUCAGUUAGUUGGUAGUGUAAUGGACUACCAAGACGAUAACGGGUAACGGGGAAUCAGGGUUUGAUACCGGAGAGGGAGCCUGAGAGAUAGCUCCCACGUCCAUGGACGGCAGCAGGCGCGAAAAUUGCCCACUCUUUGUAGGAGGCAGUUAUGAGACGUGAAAGUGAUUAUUCAGCAAAGAUGAAUAGGAGAAUUGGAGGGCAAGUUUGGUGCCAGCAUCCGCGGUAUA